This 497-nucleotide ribosomal RNA is filed under the name uncultured bacterium. RNAcentral's name for it is "partial 16S ribosomal RNA". It matches the Rfam family "Bacterial small subunit ribosomal RNA", at positions 28 to 507 of the family's 1533-position model. The record is from RNAcentral.
GACGAACGCUGGCGGCGUGCCUAAUACAUGCAAGUAGAACGCUGAAGAGAGGAGCUUGCUCUUCUUGGAUGAGUUGCGAACGGGUGAGUAACGCGUAGGUAACCUGCCUUGUAGCGGGGGAUAACUAUUGGAAACGAUAGCUAAUACCGCAUAACAAUGGAUGACACAUGUCAUUUAUUUGAAAGGGGCAAUUGCUCCACUACAAGAUGGACCUGCGUUGUAUUAGCUAGUAGGUGAGGGAAUGGCUCACCUAGGCGACGAUACAUAGCCGACCUGAGAGGGUGAUCGGCCACCCUGGGACUGAGACACGGCCCAGACUCCUACGGGAGGCAGCAGUAGGGAAUCUUCGGCAAUGGGGGCAACCCUGACCGAGCAACGCCGCGUGAGUGAAGAAGGUUUUCGGAUCGUAAAGCUCUGUUGUAAGUCAAGAACGGGUGUGAGAGUGGAAAGUUCACACUGUGACGGUAGCUUACCAGAAAGGGACGGCUAACUACGUG